This 799-nucleotide unclassified non-coding RNA is filed under the name Arabidopsis thaliana (thale cress). RNAcentral describes it as "3' external transcribed spacer". The stretch from base 1 to 104 matches the Rfam family "Eukaryotic large subunit ribosomal RNA", at positions 3299 to 3401 of the family's 3401-position model. The record is from RNAcentral. Lineage: Eukaryota; Viridiplantae; Streptophyta; Magnoliopsida; Brassicales; Brassicaceae.
AAUCCUUUGCAGACGACUUAAAUACGCGACGGGGUAUUGUAAGUGGCAGAGUGGCCUUGCUGCCACGAUCCACUGAGAUUCAGCCCUUUGUCGCUAAGAUUCGACCCUCCCCUAAGAAGAGUAAGUCAAGAGAUAGACUUGUCCAAAAAGAAACGGAAGAGAAAGCGUGGGGAGACGCUCACGAAGGUGCAUAGUGAGAAGAGUAAGUCAAGAGACAGACUUGUUCGAAAAGAAACAGAAGAGAAUGCUUGGGGUUACACUCACGAAGGUGCAUAGUGAGAAGAGUAAGUCAAGAGACAGACUUGUUCGAAAAGAAACAAAAGAGAAUGCUUGGGGAGAUAGAAGUGUGAGAUAGUUCUCAAGCUCAAGAGACAGACUUGUUCGAAAAGAAACAGAAGAGAAUGCUUGGGGUUACACUCACGAAGGUGCAUAGUGAGAAGAGUAAGUCAAGAGACAGACUUGUUCGAAAAGAAACAAAAGAGAAUGCUUGGGGAGAUAGAAGUGUGAGAAGUUCUCAAGCUAAGAAAGUUGUAAAAGCUAAGAACUAGCAUCAAAUGAUGGAUGAAACACAAGGUAGUUGUUGAGAAGUCAAACACUUGGUGAUAUGAACACAAACGUUCAAUAUGACAAACCCAUGCCAAGUAAAGAGAAAAUGAAAACUGGUGAUUGUUGCGGAAAUCGUCCAGGAUUCCUCGACCAGGACUUGAAAUCGUCGAGGGGAAAAAAUCGGUUCCGAGGAAUCGUCGAUCCGGACUUGGAAUCGUCGAGAAAAGUUUACCGGGUCCGAGGAUUUGUCGAC